AUGGCCUGUGGGUGCUGCAGCUGCCACAGGCAGGGGUGACCUGCGUCUGCAUGACCAGCAAGAGCCCAUGCUUCAGGGCUCAUGGAGCAGGGUGAUGCCAGGCAGAGCUGGGAGGUGCUGGAGCUGUUACAGCACUGUCGUGCCCACGCAUCAGCACUGGUGCAUGGCAGUGUUAGUGCCCACUGUGUCCCUGGGCUAGUUGCAGGCGAGCUGUGGACACAGCGUGGUUCCCUGUCCAUGCUCCAGCUGGCUCAGGUGGACAGGACAUGGAAGCCAGAGCAUUAGAAGACCCCCACCAAUCCCAGCCUUGGGGUUCUGCCAGGAGCUGUUGCUGGCCCAGCGCGAGCCUGACUGCACCUGGGAGAGCAGCUCCCACACCCUCUUGGCCAACCUCCUGUGGAGGGGCUACCCCAUGACUGUGCGGCAGUGGAAGGCCCCUGGAAAGCGGCCUGAUGUGCUGUUGGCUGCCCUUGAGCACUGCAAGGCUCCUCCUGGGGAGGUCCAGGCUCAGGACUGCCCCUGCCACCUCAGACCUCUACAGCUUCUGCAUCCUGGUCCAAGUCUUCACUGCUCAGUGCAUAACCCCAUACCCUACUCCACUGAGGCACCCCUCUCGUUUGGGUCUCUCAGUCAUGCUUUCUCACAGGAGGGCUGCCCUGGGCUGAGAUGAAAGCUAAACUGGAGGCAGGACUCGGCUCCUGAGGAGAGCUCCCUGACAGACGGGACCACACUGUGCCCUGUACUCCAGGGGUCUUCACCAGACACUGUACUAUGAGGUGACUCCCAGAGCCAAGACUACACCCAGGCCGGUGCCCCCUGUGAUGUCCCUAGGCUCCCCCCAAUCCCAGCAGGCACCCAGCCCUGAGCUAAUCAGAGGCCUCUCCUCCGGCCUGCAGAAGUGAGAAGUGGGCCCCGGCGGGAGUCCUCUGGGCACCUUCCUCCCUGCUGAGGAAUGAAUAAAAGACUGUUUGAAAGGACACUGCAUGGACCAAUGCUCACAGUGCGUCAUGAACUGAGGAUGAUGCUUUAUCUAACUCAUUGCACCUAAUGUCCAGAUGAAAAACAAAAAAAUCCAUGACCCCCAAAUUUGAAGUGUAACAUUUGGGAACCAGCUCAGGGCCCCAGCCCUUCCCAGCUUCCCACGGGCACAGGCAUGG
Long non-coding RNA from Manis pentadactyla (Chinese pangolin), 1157 nucleotides. RefSeq lists it as uncharacterized. The transcript has 10 exons. Lineage: Eukaryota; Metazoa; Chordata; Mammalia; Pholidota; Manidae. The record is from RefSeq and is a predicted model, not a curated record.